This 18-nucleotide unclassified non-coding RNA is filed under the name Mus musculus (house mouse). RNAcentral's name for it is "oocyte_clustered_small_RNA7236". The record is from RNAcentral. Lineage: Eukaryota; Metazoa; Chordata; Mammalia; Rodentia; Muridae.
UGUCAAGGCUCCUCUCCA